Molecule: ribosomal RNA, 182 nt
Filed under: uncultured bacterium
Lineage: Bacteria
Description: partial 16S ribosomal RNA
Rfam family: Bacterial small subunit ribosomal RNA
Source: RNAcentral
AGUGCAGUCCUACGAGAGGCAGCAGUGAGGAAUAUUGGUCAAUGGGCGAGAGCCUGAACCAGCCAAGUCGCGUGAGGGAAGACGGUCCUAUGGAUUGUAAACCUCUUUUGCCGGGGAGCAAAGAGCGGCACGUGUGCCGCGCCGAGAGUACCCGGAGAAAAAGCAUCGGCUAACUCCGUGCC